UAUUAAUCAAAUUAUUACUUAGGAACAACUAAAAUCCCUUUGAUAAAAGGAAUAGCUGUUAGCAUGCAAUGUAGAGUUGAGGGAUGCAAUGCAAAUUUGCUUCUUAAAAACGCUAUCAAAUUUUCUCGACAGUGAAUAGCUGCCAGUAUUCCUCACCCUGACCAGCAGAGCUGUCCAGUUAUGAUUGCAUGCGUGAUAAUUUUCUUGAGCCUGAAAAUGUGCUAAUGGAAAAAGAAACGAAUUGCUGGGAUAAAUUCUGUUGUGAGGCCAGGAUUCUCAUGUGAAGAUGAUUUGGUUACAGACGAGAUUUCAUGCGCGUUAUGGAGUACAGUAACUAAUUAAUACCAGUAAUAGUAACACUAGAGAUAAAAUAUCAAAACUUACGAACCACUAAAGUGAUAUUCUUUCGUAAAGGGUAAAAAUAAGUAAGAAUUACCUUUGCAAAAUUACAACUGUGAAGAUAACCUCAAAAUUUCGAUCCUUUACCCCCUCACCUAACUUUCUUUCAGGGGAGGAGGGGGAGUUCGAUACUUUUGUUCGAUUUCGAUGAUUUCGAUUCGAUAGUGUAAACAUAACCUCAAACUCAAAACUUCAGAACGUCAACAGGGACGCCCUUUUUUUAAUUGAUUAUGUUUCUGUCGGUGUUUUUAACUCCAAAAAUUUCUCAGUCUCUUCAUUACGUUCAGAAUGUUUAUCAUGGUUUUUAAAUUCAAACAUAAAGUUUCACCCGUGAUUUUUAACGUGUUAGUCUAAAAUGCACACCGUUAUUGAGUUGACUGUGUGAACUGAGGCCCUUUUCUCUUCAUUCAUUAAUACAUUUAACCAUACAAAAGCCGCCAAGAUGAUGCAACAAUACAUGAAAGAAAUGGAAAAGAAGCCUUUUGAAGCAGAGGCAUUUGUUGAAAGACUCGCAUGGAGGGACUGGCAGCAUGCCUGAUGAUAAAUCCAAAGAAAUGUUUGAUCCUCAGCUCAUGCAGGAAACUUUCAUCCAAGCAAUAAAGUAAGUCUGAUUAAAAGGAUCCAAGUAAGAAUUUGUAAGUAGAAGUUCAAGCACUAUCUGUAAGAGGUAAAAUCCAUUCAAAACAGUUGUAUGGCAUCAUGUAGGGAACAGAGGCCUAUGGGGGACUCCCAUGAAUUUCAACACUGUUGUUGAUCAUGUAUGUGUGU
RNAcentral lists this long non-coding RNA (1167 nucleotides) under Bemisia tabaci. RNAcentral's name for it is "lncRNA ENSSSA1NGG011112". Lineage: Eukaryota; Metazoa; Arthropoda; Insecta; Hemiptera; Aleyrodidae. The record is from RNAcentral.